AUUGAACGCUGGCGGCAGGCCUAACACAUGCAAGUCGAGCGGAAACGAGUUAUCUGAACCUUCGGGGAACGAUAACGGCGUCGAGCGGCGGACGGGUGAGUAAUGCCUAGGAAAUUGCCCUGAUGUGGGGAUAACCGAUUGGAAACGAUGGCUAAUACCGCAUAACACCUUCGGGGUCAAAGAGGGGGACCUUCGGGCCUCUCGCGUCAGGAUAUGCCUAGGUGGGAUUAGCUAGUUGGUGAGGUAAUGGCUCACCAAGGCGACGAUCCCUAGCUGGUCUGAGAGGAUGAUCAGCCACGACUGGAACUGAGACACGGUCCAGACUCCUACGGGAGGCAGCGAGUGGGGAAUAAUUGCACAAUGGGGGAAACCCUGAUGCAGCCAUGCCGCGUGUGUGAAGAAGGCCUUUCGGGUUUGUAAAAGGCACUUUCAGUUGCGAGGAAGGCAAUAUACGUAAUAGCGUGUGUGUUUUGACGUUUAGCAACAGAAGAA
This 492-nucleotide ribosomal RNA is filed under the name uncultured bacterium. RNAcentral describes it as "bacterial SSU rRNA". It matches the Rfam family "Bacterial small subunit ribosomal RNA", at positions 30 to 489 of the family's 1533-position model. The record is from RNAcentral.